GCUUGCUGCUUCGCUGACGAGUGGCGGACGGGUGAGUAAUGUCUGGGAAACUGCCCGAUGGAGGGGGAUAACUACUGGAAACGGUAGCUAAUACCGCAUAAUGUCGCAAGACCAAAGAGGGGGACCUUCGGGCCUCUUGCCAUCGGAUGUGCCCAGAUGGGAUUAGCUUGUUGGUGAGGUAACGGCUCACCAAGGCGACCAUCCCUAGCUGGUCUGAAAGGAUGACCAGCCACACUGGAACUGAAACACGGUCCAGACUCCUACCGGAGGCAGCAGUGGGGAAUAUUGCACAAUGGGCGCAAGCCUGAUGCAGCCAUGCCGCGUGUAUGAAGAAAGCCUUCCGGUUGUAAAGUACUUUCAGCGGGGAGGAAGGGGUUAAGGUUAAUAACCUUAGCCAUUGACGUUACCCGCAGAAGAAGCACCGGCUAACUCCGUGCCAGCAGCCGCGGUAAUACCGAAGGUGCAAGCGUUAAUCCGAAUUACUGGGCGUAAAGCGCACGCAGGCGGUCUGUCAAGUCCGAUGUGAAAUCCCCGGGCUCAACCUGGGAACUGCAUUCGAAACUGGC
This 566-nucleotide ribosomal RNA is filed under the name Enterobacteriaceae bacterium RF3. Its description in RNAcentral is "bacterial SSU rRNA". It matches the Rfam family "Bacterial small subunit ribosomal RNA", at positions 78 to 637 of the family's 1533-position model. Lineage: Bacteria; Pseudomonadati; Pseudomonadota; Gammaproteobacteria; Enterobacterales; Enterobacteriaceae. The record is from RNAcentral.